Molecule: ribosomal RNA, 212 nt
Filed under: uncultured Actinomycetes bacterium
Lineage: Bacteria; Bacillati; Actinomycetota; Actinomycetes
Description: uncultured actinobacterium partial 16S ribosomal RNA
Rfam family: Bacterial small subunit ribosomal RNA
Source: RNAcentral
GAUUGACGGGGGCCCGCACAAGCGGCGGAGCAUGCGGAUUAAUUCGAUGCAACGCGAAGAACCUUACCAAGGCUUGACAUGCACGGGAAAGUUCCAGAGAUGGUUCCCCCGCAAGGUCCGUGCACAGGUGGUGCAUGGUUGUCGUCAGCUCGUGUCGUGAGAUGUUGGGUUAAGUCCCGCAACGAGCGCAACCCUUGUCUUAUGUGCCAGCG